Molecule: long non-coding RNA, 324 nt
Organism: Patiria miniata (bat star)
Lineage: Eukaryota; Metazoa; Echinodermata; Asteroidea; Valvatida; Asterinidae
Exons: 3
Source: RefSeq, a predicted model, not a curated record
ACUGGAGGCAGUUUGGUGGACGUCGGCAUGGUUACCUGGAGGCAAAGAUGAGGAAAGGAAACGUUCAUUUAUUCGAAGCAGGGUUACGGUUCUGCUGGUAGGCAUCGUACAGUAUCCGCUGCGAUGCCGGCCCCCACUUGAACCGAUUCCUUCGCAUCUUCUUGUUCCUCGUAUCGCCUCGAUCAUCUGCCAAGAUGGAUUUCUCUGGGUUUGUGAAUUCUGUCAAUGAGAGAUCAUUACCCAGCCGUACAGCAUAGCUCUCUUGAUCCCCUUCAUGGGCGUGCCUUUGUUGAGAUGCUGGGACAGGUGGCUCUGGUUCAGUCC